GGAGGGUGCAAACGUUGUUCGGAAUCACUGGGCGUAAAGGGCGCGCAGGCGGACCUGGUAAGUCAGGAGUGAAAACUCGGGGGGCUCAACUCCGAGCCUGCUUCUGAAACUGCAAGUCUUGAGGGCCGGAGAGGAGAGUGGAAUUCCUAGUGUAGCGGUGGAAUGCGUAGAUAUUAGGAAGAACACCAGUGGCGAAGGCGACUCUCUGGACGGUUCCUGACGCUGAGGCGCGAAAGCUAGGGGAGCAAACAGGAUUAGAUACCCUGGUAGUCCUAGCCGUAAACGAUGAGUGCUAGGUGGUGGUGGUUUCAACGCCUUCACUGCCGGAGCUAACGCAUUAAGCACUCCGCCUGGGGAGUACGGCCGCAAGGUUG
Molecule: ribosomal RNA, 374 nt
Filed under: uncultured organism
Description: partial 16S ribosomal RNA
Rfam family: Bacterial small subunit ribosomal RNA
Source: RNAcentral